GUCUCUUAUGAGAGUUUUGACAGAUUAUAUCAUUCAAGGAAUUUGCUCUUUUCAUUUAGGUUAUCAAAUAUCUUUUGGCUGUUAGGAUUUAUAGCUGUGACAUCCAUCAUGAUGAUUCAAAGAGCCUAAUCAUCCAAUAAAACAUGCAGAAAAGUUUACAUGGAUGAUGUUUAUCUGAAUUAUUUGCUCAAGAGACAGAUAACUGUUUGGGACCUUGGAGGUAGAGCAAUGGAGGAAUUCACUUCUCACAGUGGUAUUAACUGUAAUACGGUUGUAUUGACUGCAGAAUGAGCCGAUAGCAAGGAAGCAGCCCAUCAGGUCCAUGGAGACAUUUUUCAUCAUUUCCUGGUUUGGAGAGAGGAUGUUGUUAAUCAACUGCCAUCUCAAUGCUCAGAUUAGUGUCAAGACUAAGAGGGCAUCUGGUUCGCUUCACUGACAAAGCGAUGAAAGGCCUUGCUUGUAAAUAGCUUUGACUGCGUUUGCAAACUCUUACAUUAGUUGUGCUACCCUUACGUUCCCCGAAUACUUCUUCAAAAGUUCUGCUUCUUUCCUAGGCUGUGAGUUGCCCUGAUUACUAAUUUUCAUAAUCAGUUCCUGGAGGUUUCCACU
Heterocephalus glaber (naked mole-rat) is the source of this 609-nucleotide long non-coding RNA. Lineage: Eukaryota; Metazoa; Chordata; Mammalia; Rodentia; Bathyergidae. The record is from Ensembl.